Molecule: ribosomal RNA, 253 nt
Filed under: uncultured bacterium
Lineage: Bacteria
Description: partial 16S ribosomal RNA
Rfam family: Bacterial small subunit ribosomal RNA
Source: RNAcentral
UACGUAGGGGGCAAGCGUUAUCCGGAUUUAUUGGGCGUAAAGAGCUCGUAGGCGGCCGUUCGCGUCGGAUGUGAAAGCUCAGGGCUCAACUCUGAGAUGCCAUUCGAUACGGGACGGCUAGAGGUAGGUAGGGGAGAGUGGAAUUCCUGGUGUAGCGGUGAAAUGCGCAGAUAUCAGGAGGAACACCGAUGGCGAAGGCAGGUCUCUGGGCAUUAACUGACGCUGAGGAGCGAAAGCAUGGGGAGCGAACAGG